CGCCCGUCGCUCCUACCGAUUGGGUGUGCUGGUGAAGUGUUCGGACUGGCUGCCGUGAGUGGUCUCCACCUGCGGCAGCUGGGAAGUUCAUUAAACCCUCCCACCUAGAGGAAGGAGAAGUCGUAACAAGGUUUCC
This 136-nucleotide ribosomal RNA is filed under the name uncultured Trebouxiophyceae. RNAcentral describes it as "partial small subunit ribosomal RNA". It matches the Rfam family "Eukaryotic small subunit ribosomal RNA", at positions 1670 to 1804 of the family's 1831-position model. Lineage: Eukaryota; Viridiplantae; Chlorophyta; Trebouxiophyceae. The record is from RNAcentral.